Paramormyrops kingsleyae is the source of this 1722-nucleotide non-coding RNA. The record is from RefSeq and is a predicted model, not a curated record. NCBI's taxonomy places the organism in Eukaryota, Metazoa, Chordata, Actinopteri, Osteoglossiformes, Mormyridae.
CUCAACAGCUGCCCUCAGCUGACCUGGUGAUGUCACUGGAUCUGCAGAUCAUGUGUGAACUGUAGUCACAUGAGCUGAACCUGCACGCCCCCUGAAGGGGUUGCCUUGGAAUGCUACCUGGCUGCAGGCGCAGUGUCUGGUUGUUGCAGAAGUCGGUGAAGCAGCAGCUCCUCUUGGACACAUUGUGGGAGCCAUGACAGAAGAGCUGGCCCUUCAUCUCCAACAGGGACAGGCAGGACUUGACGACCUCUUCCCGGCCAUCCACGAGCGUGACCGAGUUCCAGCAUGCCCCGCCCACCCCGGUCUCACACGUGUGGUUGGUGCACAGCUCACACAAGCAUUUCAGGCCUGGGAGGGUGGAGGGAGAACCGAACUGUCUAGGUCCACAUAAACACAGGUUACACAUACAGAAACGGGAAAUACCUUUUCUUUUAAAAGUGUCAUUGUGUAUACGUGCAGUUAGUGCAUGCUGGUUCAUUAACCCUGUACCAUCCAUCCAUCUUAGUAAGUGUGAAUCCAGCACAGUCAUGGGGAACCUGAAGCCCAGGCAGCACGGGACACAAGGCAGGGGACACCCUGGGUGGGACAUCAGUCCUCCAUAGUGCAGACACACAUCUUUGUGGGGACUCUCCAUUCAUUUCUAUGGGAAAAACCCUAAUACCAGUGAUGACGACCUUAACCCCUCCCCAACCCUAACCUUAACCAUACAUAACCAAACAAAAUACAAAACUGUUGGUAGCUUUUUGAUUGCAGACACUGUUUUUCAUAAAAUUGAGUUUCCCCUUGUGGGGACUGAAACAAAUGUUACCACAUCUAAAUAACCUGUUUUUAUCACAUUGUGGAGGCAUUUGUUCAGGUCAAUAGAGCUACAUCACCUUCCCUUCAAAGACAAACAAGCAAGUUCUCCUUAACGUUUUACGUCAAAUGACCUCCAUGACCCCCCGACCAACCCUAAUCCUGCUGGCAGACCCAUAAGUUAUUGCUUGUCUCUGUACCCCUAAUAAUGCGUUUCCCCAGACGUCCAGUCAGGAGGCCGCCGACAUAGAGCGAUGAGGUGGAGAUUAACAGCAGGUUUGGCGGCGCUCUUCAGAAGCCCUGACCACGGGGCGUAUUCGCCUGCACGACACACAGCCAGGAAUAGCUAAGAGGGUAUCACGAGGAGCUGAAACAAUCCAGCUUGCACCCCAGCCCCGUGGCCCGUGACGGACCGGCAUCCCGUCCAGGGUGCACCCCAGCCCCGUGGCCCGUGACGGACCGGCAUCCCGUCCAGGGUGCACCCCAGCCCCGUGCUGCCUGGGAUAGGCUCCAGGUGACCCUCACCAGGAUAAGCAGUUACAGGAUGGAUGAUACCACCCUGCCCCCCCCACCACAACUAACUUGGUUUAGUAAAAAGCUCUGCCUAUCUGCAAAAGGUCCCAGUGAUUGUAGAUAAAAAAAAAAAAUGCAUGCAUAUUUUUCUUAUCAGUUUAAAAAUAAAAACAUCUAGGUCGAAAGUAAAGUAUCAUUCAGGACCACAUUACCUUUUAGUAUUAGCUGUUAAGUUUAUUAUUAAAAUAAAAUAGAGUGUAACAAUAUGCAAUUGCAGUAACAAAAGAGCCAUAGACAUGAAUGAAUUUCGUGCUGACUAUCACGUGCGGCUGUCACUUGUACAGCCCAUAAUUCUCAAACCGAACAGAAACACCAGUAUGUUAUAAAGUGAAUAAAUAAAGCAGCUAAAAGUUU